GAUGAACGCUGGCGGCGUGCCUAAUACAUGCAAGUCGAGCGAACAGACGAGGAGCUUGCUCCUCUGACGUUAGCGGCGGACGGGUGAGUAACACGUGGAUAACCUACCUAUAAGACUGGGAUAACUUCGGGAAACCGGAGCUAAUACCGGAUAAUAUAUUGAACCGCAUGGUUCAAUAGUGAAAGACGGUUUUGCUGUCACUUAUAGAUGGAUCCGCGCCGCAUUAGCUAGUUGGUAAGGUAACGGCUUACCAAGGCAACGAUGCGUAGCCGACCUGAGAGGGUGAUCGGCCACACUUGAGCUGAGACACGGUCCAGCCUCCUACGGGAGGCAGCAGUAGGGAAUCCUCCGCAAGGGGCGAAAGCCUGUCGGAGCAACGCCGCGUGAGUGAUGAAGGUCUUCGGAUCGUAAAACUCUGUUAUUAGGGAAGAACAAAUGUGUAAGUAACUAUGCACGUCUUGACGGUACCUAAGCAGAAAGCCACGGCUAACUACGU
This 496-nucleotide ribosomal RNA is filed under the name uncultured bacterium. RNAcentral's name for it is "partial 16S ribosomal RNA". It matches the Rfam family "Bacterial small subunit ribosomal RNA", at positions 28 to 506 of the family's 1533-position model. The record is from RNAcentral.